CGGACACACCCACAGACCUCAGCCCCGCCUCCCAGCGCUAGGCCCCGCCCUGACACAGCCACAGAUUUGGCCUCGUCUCCCGUCGCCAGGCUGCAGCCAUGCCCCCAACGCCUUAGGUCUGCCUUCCGGUACCGCCCCAGGCCGCACCAGCAGCAUGGCCAGGAAGGCCACCGCCAUGAGCACGCUCUCCACCACAAUGAGGUUUCCACUCCGCGGGAGCGUCCGCAGAACCGUUUUGUUGAAGCCGCUGAGGAUGCCGUGGCUUGUGGACGGGGACGGAUGAAGUCUCGUCUCCGUGGAUGAGCAAGCUGGAAUGGGCUCAAGAAAGGAAGAUGGGCAGCCUGGGCAGCAUAGCAAGACCCCAUCUCUACAAAAAUAAAAAAUUAGCCGGGUGUGAUAGC
This is a long non-coding RNA of Callithrix jacchus (white-tufted-ear marmoset), 401 nucleotides long. RefSeq lists it as uncharacterized. The record is from RefSeq and is a predicted model, not a curated record. NCBI's taxonomy places the organism in Eukaryota, Metazoa, Chordata, Mammalia, Primates, Cebidae.